This 2494-nucleotide long non-coding RNA is filed under the name Triticum aestivum (bread wheat). RNAcentral's name for it is "long non-coding RNA (TAES_LNC028123)". Lineage: Eukaryota; Viridiplantae; Streptophyta; Magnoliopsida; Poales; Poaceae. The record is from RNAcentral.
UAAUACCAACUCUAGCCCAAGACGAAGCAUUUCCAAAGUGUGAUCAUGCAUUACACGAAUAUUCAAUAUGCAACCAUCUAUUGGUAUCUACACCACAUCAGUUUACAAAAUCCUCCAUGAAAUGGUAAUUUACAGAUAUAUUGACAAAAUAUAUCACACAACAACGCUAGGAACCAGUACAAUCCAAUUACAACAACAGAAAAUAUGAUACUAUUGAGGCUGCUAUUCAGGUUCUUAUCGUCGCCCCUCCUGAUGGUAAGUAUCAUGUCAUGGCGGAUUGUGUUGGCCAGCACCAAGAAGCCUGCUACCCAAUCAUACCUAACAUAUUUACAACAUUAGAUAGUAGAUAGUAGAAAUAAAAGAAUAAGAACAAACUUCAAAAAUAAAUUACGUGUUGUCCAAAAUUCUUAAAUUUUAACAAGCCUACAUAUCAGAAUAACAAAGUAUACUUUAAAACAAAACUAAACAUGAGGUUGCCUAAAAUUAAUUCAAAUAAAAGUGGGUCAAAUGAAAGUCUAAUAAAGUUGACAUAUAAGUGACAAUGUAAUAGAACAUACAUCGGAGAACACAAGUACUCAACAACAGUUAAGGCCAUAUAAACCCGUCGAGAAAAUGGCAUCACUAACAAAUAAUAUCAAUGAAGCGGAACCGCUACUCAUCGGUUACUCAUCGACCUCGCGAGCAUAAGCUUCAAAUUUUUCAUGUGUCAACAAGCAUACACAUGAAACUAAAUGUUUAUCUAAGGCACCUACAGUAGUAAAACACAAUUGCUUGACAAGUAAACUUCAAAUGGCAUGCAAAAUAACUAUGAGCCGUGGCCACUAAUAAAUCUAUAAAACUAAGUGGCAAAUGGUUCUCUGAAGAGAUACUGGAUAGGAUGUAUCAGUUAUUUCUCUUAACAACAUGCAUGCUGUGGUUACUUUUAAUUCAAGUGCAUGAGAAGUUCAUCACAAGAUCCAAGGGGCACAAACAAAUUAGUAAAUUAGUAGAAAAUCACACCAUGGUGAAAAUGCCUAACUCAGAACUACAUUAACUAAAUAGGUGUAGUUCAGUAGCAAUUGAGCUAGGGAAUGGAAAUACUGGACAAAUCAUAGGAGUGGCAGUAGAGAACCAACCCCUGGUUGAUCACGGAGCAGCUCCACCAACAGUUAUCGUGUCCACCCUCCCGAGCUCUAUUGUGUGCCAUGCAGCAGUACGGCUGCUACAACACCACCUAGACCUACAUCCCAAAAAAGCAGAGAUCAUAAUUAGGGAGAUUACAGUGUUAAUUGAUUGUAAAAAAAGGGAAAACAUUAGGGAAAAGAUUUAGGAUCAGACAGUAGACAUCAACCCCUACUUUUGGGAAAACUAUUGCGGAGGGCAACCUGGCUUGGAGGCAGGGAGCACAUGAGUUGAAAAAGAAAUGUGUGUCACUGUGUUGGCAAGUUCUAGCUUGGUGUGUACCUCCAGGUUGAGGGAGAGUGAACUAACAUGGCAUUGGUUCUAGUACUAGUAGGCGCACAACCAAUGGUAGUAGUACUACAUUUGCUUAGUACACAAACGAACAGGUUUAAACCUCUGUAUUAUAACUGCAGUACUGCCACACUAUACCAAUGUAUUUUUCUUCUUAGAUUCAGAUUAAACUUAAUUCUGGUUAUAUAUAUUCACCAAGUUGCAGUUGACAAUAUGGAUAGAAGUGUAUGGAGAAAACUCUAAACAGAACAUGUCACCAUAUUAAUACAGUAACAGAAAUCAUGUCUCCUAUUUGAUGAAAUUAUUCACCACUUGAUUACAUUGAUUCAUACUGAAUUAUAUUUUGAUAGAAAACUAAACUGAAUGCAUAUAGAACACUUAAUUAUAUUGAUUUAGAGAACAGAGAUACAUAAAAUUGUCAGAAAAAUCUAAAGUGAAUUAGAUCUUGGUAGAAAAUUAAACAAAAUUUGAUCUUGAUAGAAGCCCACAUAGCACAGUGCAGCCGGUUGACGAACAUGUGCCUUCUGUCUUUACUGAGUACCCUGCAGUGUAAAGAUACAUAGAAAAUUCAAUGUUAAAGAUCCAGAGAGGAAACCCGCAAACACAACUCAGCGUCUACUGCACGCACACACAUCUCACUCGUAUACACACCCUAGCCCUCGAUAGCCACUGCCGCCACCAUGCCAGCACGCACACACAACACCCUAAGAUUUGGAGAAGGCAGUAGCCAAGCUUAAGUAAUCGAUUGAAGAGGGAGGCCACGCACCAGCCUUAGGCUUCCCACACUGCCCACGAAUGGCUGUUACAACUACCAGCUUAGGCAAAUGAACCUGACCUGUGGUCGAAGCAGCAUCAUGAGGCCAUGGUGUCGAGGAAGCCAACAGAAGGGGCGGGAGCCACACCGGAAUCCAGCGGUGGCUAGGGUACACUACGGCCUCCUGCGAGCCAUUGUCCUAGACCGGCCACCACACGGUUUCUCUGCUCCGACCAGGCCAACAUCGGGGGAUGAGCCCAUGCUGGAUCUGCGCGCGCCCAAGACGCG